This 253-nucleotide ribosomal RNA is filed under the name uncultured bacterium. RNAcentral describes it as "partial 16S ribosomal RNA". It matches the Rfam family "Bacterial small subunit ribosomal RNA", at positions 524 to 776 of the family's 1533-position model. The record is from RNAcentral.
UACAAAGGGUACGAACGUUGCUCGGAAUUACUGGGCGUAAAGCGCGUGUAGACGGACCGGUAAGUCAAAUGUGAAAUCCCUAGGCUCAACCCAAGAACUGCAUUUGGAACUACUGGUCUAGAGUAUCGAAGAAGAUGGCGGAAUUCCUGGUGUAGAGAUGAAAUUCGUAGAUAUCAAAAGGAACACCAAUGGCGAAGGCAACCACCUAGACGGUCACUGACGCUGAGACGCGAAAGCGUGGGAAGCAAACAGG